This 76-nucleotide transfer RNA is filed under the name Citrobacter freundii. Its description in RNAcentral is "tRNA-Arg". It matches the Rfam family "tRNA". Rfam says of the family: Transfer RNA (tRNA) molecules are approximately 80 nucleotides in length. Their secondary structure includes four short double-helical elements and three loops (D, anti-codon, and T loops). RNAcentral also lists the same sequence under 6 other names. The record is from RNAcentral. Lineage: Bacteria; Pseudomonadati; Pseudomonadota; Gammaproteobacteria; Enterobacterales; Enterobacteriaceae.
UUACCUGUAGCUCAGCGGACAGAGCAUCUGCCUUCUAAGCAGUUGGUCGCUGGUUCGAAUCCAGCCGGGUGAACAA